Telopea speciosissima is the source of this 137-nucleotide long non-coding RNA. RefSeq lists it as uncharacterized. NCBI's taxonomy places the organism in Eukaryota, Viridiplantae, Streptophyta, Magnoliopsida, Proteales, Proteaceae. The transcript is spliced from 4 exons. The record is from RefSeq and is a predicted model, not a curated record.
UUCAAGGUAAUGGUUUUAUAGCCCAAUAGGGCUAGUGUACAACAGCAUUCAAUGUACACUAGCAAACUUGGGUCCGAACCACAAGUACCAUUUUGAGUGGUUUAUUUGUGAAACUAAUACAUGGAAUAGCUGUAAAA